This 251-nucleotide ribosomal RNA is filed under the name uncultured bacterium. Its description in RNAcentral is "partial 16S ribosomal RNA". It matches the Rfam family "Bacterial small subunit ribosomal RNA", at positions 524 to 772 of the family's 1533-position model. The record is from RNAcentral.
UACGUAGGUGGCAAGCGUUAAUCGGAAUUACUGGGCGUAAAGCGUGCGCAGGCGGUUUUGUAAGUCUGUCGUGAAAGCCCCCGGGCUCAACCUGGGAAUGGCGAUGGAUACUGGCUCGCUAGAGUGCGGUAGAGGAGAGUGGAAUUCCCGGUGUGAGCAGUGAAAUGCGUAGAGAUCGGGAGGAACAUCAGUUGCGAAGGCGGCUCUCUGGACCAGCACUGACACUGAGGCACGAAAGCGUGGGGAGCAAA